UUCCGGUUGAUCCUGCCGGAGGCUACCGCUAUUGGAAUCUGAUUAAGCCAUGCGAGUUGAAAGGGUUUAGACCCUUAGCGGACGGCUCAGUAACACGUGGAGAACCUACCCUCAGGUGGGGGAUAAUCCCGGGAAACUGGGAAUAAUACCCCAUAGGUCUCGAUUGCUGGAAUGCUUUGAGGCUGAAAGUUCCGACGUCUGAGGAUGGCUCUGCGGCCUAUCAGGUAGUAGUGAGGGUAACGUCCUCACUAGCCGAUGACGGGUACGGGCGUUGAGAGACGGAGCCCGGAGAUGGACUCUGAGACACGAGUCCAGGCCCUACGGGGCGCAGCAGGCGCGAAACCUCCGCAAUGCUCGAAAGAGUGACGGGGGGAUUCCAAGUGCCUACGCUCAGCGUAGGCUGUUCAGAUGCCUAAAAAGCAUUUGGAGUAAGGACUGGGUAAGACGGGUGCCAGCCGCCGCGGUAAUACCCGCAGUCCGAGUGGUGGUCGAUUUUAUUGGGCCUAAAGCGUCCGUAGCCUGUCCGGUAAAUGCCUGGGUAAAUCGUCUGGCUCAACCAAACGAAUUCCGGGUAGACUACCAGACUUGGGACCGGUUGAGGGAGAGGGUACUUCAGGGGUAGGAGUGAAAUCUUGUAAUCCCUGAAGGACCACCAGUGGCGAAGGCGCUCUCCUAGAACGGGUCCGACGGUGAGGGACGAAAGCCAGGGGAGCAAACCGGAUUAGAUACCCGGGUAGUCCUGGCCGUAAACGAUGCGGGCUUUGCAUUGGGGAUCCUACGAGGGUGCCCAGUGCCGAAGCGAAGGCGUUAAGCCCGCCGCCUGGGAAGUAUGGUCGCAAGGCUGAAACUUAAAGGAAUUGGCGGGGGAGCACCGCAAUGGGAGGAGCGUGCGGUUUAAUUGGAUUCAACGCCGGA
RNAcentral lists this ribosomal RNA (915 nucleotides) under uncultured archaeon. RNAcentral's name for it is "bacterial SSU rRNA". It matches the Rfam family "Archaeal small subunit ribosomal RNA", at positions 1 to 922 of the family's 1478-position model. The record is from RNAcentral.